RNAcentral lists this ribosomal RNA (406 nucleotides) under uncultured bacterium. RNAcentral's name for it is "bacterial SSU rRNA". It matches the Rfam family "Bacterial small subunit ribosomal RNA", at positions 354 to 777 of the family's 1533-position model. The record is from RNAcentral.
GUGGGGAAUAUUGCACAAUGGGGGAAACCCUGAUGCAGCGACGCCGCGUGAGUGAAGAAGUAUUUCGGUAUGUAAAGCUCUAUCAGCAGGGAAGAAAAUGACGGUACCUGACCAAGAAGCCCCGGCUAACUACGUGCCAGCAGCCGCGGUAAUACGUAGGGGGCAAGCGUUAUCCGGAUUUACUGGGUGUAAAGGGAGCGUAGACGGCUGUGCAAGUCAGAAGUGAAAGCCCGGGGCUCAACCCCGGGACUGCUUUUGAAACUGCGGAGCUGGAGUGCAGGAGAGGUAAGCGGAAUUCCUGGUGUAGCGGUGAAAUGCGUAGAUAUCAGGAGGAACACCAGUGGCGAAGGCGGCUUACUGGACUGUAACUGACGCUGAGGCACGAAAGCGUGGGGAGCAAAUAGGA